AUCAACGCUGGCGGCGUGCCUCAGACAUGCAAGUCGAACGCGAAAGCCCGCUUCGGGGGCAAGUAGAGUGGCGCACGGGUGAGUAACACGUAGGUAAUCUACCUUCGGGUGGGGAAUAACAACCGGAAACGGUUGCUAAUACCGCAUAAUGCAGCGGCACCUAAUGGUGACAGUUGUUAAAGCGGGGGAUCGAAAGAUCUCGCGCCUGAAGAGGAGCCUGCGGCGGAUUAGCUAGUUGGUAGGGUAACGGCCUACCAAGGCAACGAUCCGUAGCCGGCCUGAGAGGGCGGUCGGCCACACUGACACUGACAUACGGGUCAGACUCCUACGGGAGGCAGCAGUCGGGAAUUUUGGGCAAUGGGCGAAAGCCUGACCCAGCAACGCCGCGUGAAGGAUGAAGCAUUUCGGGUGUGUAAACUUCACAAGAUUGGGAAGAAU
Molecule: ribosomal RNA, 438 nt
Filed under: uncultured bacterium
Lineage: Bacteria
Description: bacterial SSU rRNA
Rfam family: Bacterial small subunit ribosomal RNA
Source: RNAcentral